This 21-nucleotide microRNA is filed under the name Physcomitrium patens. RNAcentral's name for it is "ppt-miR1073-3p". Lineage: Eukaryota; Viridiplantae; Streptophyta; Bryopsida; Funariales; Funariaceae. The record is from miRBase by way of RNAcentral.
UGGGCGUUAAUACAUUUCAUA